Molecule: ribosomal RNA, 877 nt
Filed under: uncultured bacterium
Lineage: Bacteria
Description: bacterial SSU rRNA
Rfam family: Bacterial small subunit ribosomal RNA
Source: RNAcentral
GACGAACGCUGGCGGCGUGCCUAACACAUGCAAGCCUGGGAGAAGAGAGUAGCAAUACUUUUUGUAAACCGGCGCACGGGUGAGUAAUAUAUAGGUAACCUGCCCUUUGGUUUGGGAUAACUCGUCGAAAGGCGAGCUAAUACUGAAUGAUGCAGCGGCUCCACAUGGAGAUGUUGUUAAAGCCUUCGGGCGCCAAGGGAUGGGCCUGUAUCCCAUUAGAUAGUUGGUGAGGUAACGGCUCACCAAGUCAAUGAUGGGUAGCUGAUCUGAGAGGAUGAUCAGCCACACUGGAACUGAGACACGGUCCAGACUCCUACGGGAGGCAGCAGUGAGGAAUAUUGCGCAAUGGAUGAAAGUCUGACGCAGCGACGCCGCGUGGAGGAUGAAGGCCCUUUGGGUCGUAAACUCCUGUAGAGUGGGAAGAAUAUCCCUUUUGAAGGGUUUGACGGUACCACUAAAGUAAGGAUCGGCUAACUACGUGCCAGCAGCCGCGGUAAUACGUAGGAUCCGAGCGUUGUCCGGAAUUACUGGGUGUAAAGGGAGCGCAGGCGGGUCUAUAAGUCGACGGUGAAAUCUUCCAGCUCAACUGGAAAACUGCCGCCGAUACUGUAGAUCUUGAAUAUGUCAGAGGGAAACGGAAUUCAUGGUGUAGCGGUGAAAUGCGUAGAUAUCAUGAAGAACACCAGUCGCGAAGGCGGUUUCCUGGGACAUUAUUGACGCUCAUGCUCGAAAGUGUGGGGAGCAAACAGGAUUAGAUACCCUGGUAGUCCACACCUUAAACGAUGAAUACUAGGUGUCGGGUCGCAAGACUCGGUGCCAAAGCUAACGCAUUAAGUAUUCCACCUGGGGAGUACGAUCGCAAGGUUGAAACUCAAAU